RNAcentral lists this ribosomal RNA (330 nucleotides) under uncultured Ochrobactrum sp. RNAcentral describes it as "bacterial SSU rRNA". It matches the Rfam family "Bacterial small subunit ribosomal RNA", at positions 1052 to 1382 of the family's 1533-position model. Lineage: Bacteria; Pseudomonadati; Pseudomonadota; Alphaproteobacteria; Hyphomicrobiales; Brucellaceae. The record is from RNAcentral.
UCGUCAGCUCGUGUCGUGAGAUGUUGGGUUAAGUCCCGCAACGAGCGCAACCCUCGCCCUUAGUUGCCAGUCAUUUAGUUGGGCACUCUAAGGGGACUGCCGGUAGAUAAGCCGAGAGGAAGUGGGGAUGACGUCAAGUCCUCAUGGCCCUUACGGGCUGGGCGUACACACGUGCUACAAUGGUGGUGACAGUGGCAGCGAGCACGCGAGUGUGAGCUAAUCUCCAAAAGCCAUCUCAGUUCGGAUUGCACUCUGCAACUCGACUGCGUGAAGUCGGAAUCGCUAGUAAUCGUGAAUCAGAAUGUCACGGUGAAUACGUUCCCGGGCCUU